This 84-nucleotide transfer RNA is filed under the name Clostridiales bacterium. RNAcentral's name for it is "tRNA-Leu". It matches the Rfam family "tRNA". Rfam says of the family: Transfer RNA (tRNA) molecules are approximately 80 nucleotides in length. Their secondary structure includes four short double-helical elements and three loops (D, anti-codon, and T loops). The record is from RNAcentral. Lineage: Bacteria; Bacillati; Bacillota; Clostridia; Eubacteriales.
GCGAAUGUGGUGGAACGGCAGACACAACGGACUUAAAAUCCGUCGGGGCGACCCGUGGGGGUUCAAAUCCCCCCAUUCGCACCA